This 512-nucleotide ribosomal RNA is filed under the name uncultured bacterium. RNAcentral's name for it is "bacterial SSU rRNA". It matches the Rfam family "Bacterial small subunit ribosomal RNA", at positions 12 to 524 of the family's 1533-position model. The record is from RNAcentral.
UUUGAUCCUGGCUCAGGAUGAACGCUAGCGGGAGGCCUAACACAUGCAAGCCGAGCGGUAUUUGUUCUUCGGAACAGAGAGAGCGGCGCACGGGUGCGGAACACGUGUGCAACCUGCCUUUAUCUGGGGGAUAGCCUUUCGAAAGGAAGAUUAAUACCCCAUAAUAUAUUGAGUGGCAUCACUUGAUAUUGAAAACUCCGGUGGAUAGAGAUGGGCACGCGCAAGAUUAGAUAGUUGGUGAGGUAACGGCUCACCAAGUCAAUGAUCUUUAGGGGGCCUGAGAGGGUGAUCCCCCACACUGGUACUGAGACACGGACCAGACUCCUACGGGAGGCAGCAGUGAGGAAUAUUGGACAAUGGGUUAGCGCCUGAUCCAGCCAUCCCGCGUGAAGGACGACGGCCCUAUGGGUUGUAAACUUCUUUUGUAUAGGGAUAAACCUACUCUCGUGAGAGUAGCUGAAGGUACUAUACGAAUAAGCACCGGCUAACUCCGUGCCAGCAGCCGCGGUAAU